GAAGGAGACAACAGAUCUGGGGUCAGGCUAUAGAAGGAGACAACAGAUCUGGGGUCAGGCUAUAGAAGGAGACAACAGAUCUGGGGUCAGGCUAUAGAAGGAGACAACAGAUCUGGGGUCAGGCUAUAUAAGGAGACAACAGAUCUGGGGUCAGGCUAUAUAAAAGGAGACAACAGAUCUGGGGUCAGGCUAUAUAAGAAGACAACAGAUCUGGGGUCAGGCUAUAUAAGGAGACAACAGAUCUGGGGUCAGGCUAUAGAAGGAGACAACAGAUCUGCCACUAUAUAGGGAAUAGGGCUCUGGUCUAUAGUAGUACCACUAUAUAGUGAAUAGGGCUCUGGUCUAUGGUAGUUAUACUAUAUAGGGAAUAGGGCUCUGGUCUAUAGUAGUGUAAUAUAUAGGGAAUAGGGCUCUGGUCUAUAGUAGUACCACUAUAUAGGGAAUAGGGCUCUGGUCUAUAGUAGUACCACUAUAUAGGGAAUAGGGCUCUGGUCUAUAGUAGUACCACUAUAUAGGGAAUAGGGCUCUGGUCUAUAGUAGUGUACUAUAUAGGGAAUAGGGCUCUGGUCUAUAGUAGUACCACUAUAUAGGGAAUAGGGCUCUGGUCUAUAGUAGUGUACUAUAUAGGGAGAAGUGUGCAUCCCAGAAACCUCAACAGAGCAAUGCUCUUUAGAGGAGUGUGUGUAUGUGUGUGU
Molecule: long non-coding RNA, 695 nt
Organism: Oncorhynchus tshawytscha (Chinook salmon)
Lineage: Eukaryota; Metazoa; Chordata; Actinopteri; Salmoniformes; Salmonidae
Source: Ensembl